Acanthochromis polyacanthus (spiny chromis) is the source of this 1308-nucleotide long non-coding RNA. RefSeq lists it as uncharacterized. The record is from RefSeq and is a predicted model, not a curated record. The transcript has 2 exons. NCBI's taxonomy places the organism in Eukaryota, Metazoa, Chordata, Actinopteri, Pomacentridae.
GCGGGUCAGCCAACCGCCCUCAUCGGUGAAGCCCAUCGACAGCAUCUGGGACAGAGACUCCACCAGGCCGGGGUCCGCCUCUGUGGGAGGAGUAACAAGUUAGCAGGGGCGGGGCCACAAGGACUGACAUCAGAGUUGGAAAAAUUUGGAAGUGCACGACACAGAAAUUUUCACAGAGGCGCACGGACCUGGCAGACGAGGUAAGCAUUAAAACAGGCUUAAACCUUACCUUGAGGCAGGUGAGGGUACAGGGCCGCCUCCCUCAGCCCUGUGGGGCCCUGCUGGCCUCCGGACACGGGCUCCUGGUCGCUGGACUGCAGAGACUGCAGCUCCCCUGUGGAUGGGUCCACCUCUCUGGAGCUCAGGUGAGUCCACUCCUCAUCAGAGUCCCUGCUCACCUGGAGACCAGAGGCAGGUGUACUACUGGUUAGACUGGUUUCUACUGGUUACAGAUACACUAAACAGGUUUAUUCAGCUCCUGAAAGUAGUAACUCUGUCUGCUCAGUGAGUCUGGAUGUUUCUAAACAGGUUUGUUUGUGAACAUCUGGAAACAGUUCAGAUAAUUCUGAUGAUGAAGACAAGCUGACCUUUGACCCCUGGCUGGCACCGCCCUCACUGCUGGCCCCGCCCUCACUGCUAGCUCCACUCAUCUCCACGUCACCUUCCACACCCCCACCUGAAGUGGGCGGGGCUACCUUCGUCCUCUGGCCUUCGUGCUCCACGUCGAUGUCCACAUCGAUACCUGCACACAACAUCACUUCCUGUUCAGACGGCUCUACAAACAGCUACUCAGAGAACUUCACUGAUCUGAGUAGCUGUGACAUCACUCACCUAGCGGGCUUAACAUGGCCGCCACGCCCUCGCCAAUGUUCUUCAGGAACGCCAUGUUGGCCUGAGAGGCUGCAGACAGAGAUCAGAUUCAUUGAUGAUGUCAUUGGGGGGGGGGGGGUUACAGUUAUCAGUUAUUUAUAAAGAAACACCACACUGACCAGAGGGGGCGCUGCAAUCAGCCGCAGGUCUGGAAGGUCCCGCUUGGUCCUUGUCCUGGUCCUGGUUCAGCUCUGGGUCCUGGUCUUGGUCCUGAGCCUGGUUCUGGUUCUGGUUUUGGUUCCACAUGCAGUGCCUCAUCCUCUUCAUCCACUUCCCUCGAGGAAACCACUGUAGAAACAGGAAAACGUCAGAGUCCUGACAGUCACAGUGCAGGCAGGCAGGGCUGAUUCAUCUUCUCUGUAUUUAUUCUGACAUUUAUUUACUUUAAUAUUUUAUCUUAUAAGUUUAUUUGAAUCAAUAAAAGACUGAAAAACUGAA